This 773-nucleotide ribosomal RNA is filed under the name uncultured Neocallimastigales. RNAcentral describes it as "partial large subunit ribosomal RNA". It matches the Rfam family "Eukaryotic large subunit ribosomal RNA", at positions 24 to 644 of the family's 3401-position model. Lineage: Eukaryota; Fungi; Neocallimastigomycota; Neocallimastigomycetes; Neocallimastigales. The record is from RNAcentral.
UAUGUGAUCGUCUCUCGCAUAUCAAUAAGCGGAGGAAAAGAAACUAACAAGGAUUCCCCUAGUAACGGCGAGUGAAGCGGGAAGAGCUCAAAUUUGAAAUCUUAAAGGGUUUCCCUUUACGAAUUGUAGUUUAAAGAAGUGUUUUCUGUUGAGGUUUUGGUAAAAGUUCUUUGGAAUAGGACAUCAUAGAGGGUGAGAAUCCCGUAUUUGACCUUUACUUUCAACUUUGUGAUACACUUUCAAAGAGUCGGAUUGUUUGGGAAUGCAGUCCAAAAUGGGUGGUAAAUUUCAUCUAAAGCUAAAUAUUGGCGAGAGACCGAUAGCGAACAAGUACCGUGAGGGAAAGAUGAAAAGAACUUUGAAAAGAGAGUUAAACAGUACGUGAAAUUGUCAAAAGGGAAGCGUUUGACACCAGUGUUGUUUUUCUGAAAAUCAAUUAAAGAACUGUUUAUGCUAAGCUGUUUAGACUUUAUCAGCUAACUGUUUAGUUUUGAGCUUUUCUUUAAUGCACUUUUCAGUUAACAAGUCAACAUCAAUUUCUUUUGCUGUAAAAAAGCUUGAGGAAGGUGGCUUGAGAUUCGUCUUAAGUGUUUAUAGCCUCUUGCCUAUGCAGUCGGAGAGAUUGAGGUCUGCAGCGUAGAUCCUUCGGGGCUAAAUGCAUUUGUGCUAAGUUAUAGCAUUUUAUAGACAACUUGUUGACUAUGAUUUGUCUUGUAGCUUACUCGCUUAUGUUAUUUUACCUACGCUUAGGAUGUUGAUAUCGCGCUCUCACU